Molecule: ribosomal RNA, 463 nt
Filed under: uncultured bacterium
Lineage: Bacteria
Description: partial 16S ribosomal RNA
Rfam family: Bacterial small subunit ribosomal RNA
Source: RNAcentral
AGUGAACGCUGGCGGCGUGCUUAAUACAUGCAAGUCGAACGAUGAAGUCCUAGCUUGCUAGGAUGGAUUAGUGGCGCACGGGUGAGUAAUAUAUAGUUAAUCUGCCUUGCACUGAGGAACAACAGUUGGAAACGAUUGCUAAUACCUCAUACUCCAACUUUACAUAAGUUAAGUUGGGAAAGUCUUUUCGGUGCAAGAUGAGACUAUAUCGUAUCAGCUAGUUGGUAAGGUAAUGGCUUACCAAGGCUAUGACGCGUAACUGGUCUGAGAGGAUGAUCAGUCACAUUGGAACUGAGACACGGUCCAAACUCCUACGGGAAGCAGCAGUAAGGAAUAUUGUGCAAUGGGGGAAACCCUGACGCAGCAACGCCGCGUGGAGGAUGACACUUUUCGGAGCGUAAACUCCUUUUGUUAGGGAAGAAUAAUGACGGUACCUAACGAAUAAGCACCGGCUAACUCCGUG